CAAGAACAACCAGCACCAAAUGAGUUGCUGUGGUGGAGAGCAAGCUGUGCUCCGAGACUAAUUGCUGCACUUGUUAGAGUGUACAAGAAGGCCUCCCGAGUCUUCCUCUGGACAGAAAUUUGCUACUCUGAAUCUAAGCCCAUAAUAUUUCUGGAAUAUAAUUAAAAACUAAGUCAAUUCCUCCAACUGAUGAACAUGGAAGAUUAGCCCUGAGCUAACCACUGCCAGUCCUCCUCUUUUUUGCUGAGGAAGCCUGGCCCUGAGCUAACAUCCGUGCCGAUCUUCCUCUAUUCUAUAUGUGGGACGCCUACCACAGCAUGGUGUGCCAAGCAGUGCCAUGUCCGCACCCGGGAUCCGAACCGGCAAACCGUGGGCUGCUGAGAAGCGGAACGUGCAAACUUAACCGCUACGCCACAGGGCUGGCCCUACCUUUUUCUUUCUUUCUUUCUUUCUUUUGAGGAAGAUUAGCCCUGAGCUAACAUCUGCUGCCAAUCCUCCUCUUUUUGCUGAGGAAGACUGGCCCUGAGCUAACACCUGCGCCCAUCUUACUCUACUUUAAAUGCGGGACGCCUGCUACAGCAUGGUUUGCCAAGCAGUGCCACAUCCGGCCCGGGAUCCAAACCGGUGAAUCCCGGGCUGCUGAAGCGGAACAUGCGUACUUGACGGCUGCGCCACCAGGCUGGCCCCAUCUUUUACCUUUUUCUAUGCCUUCUACACUAUACAGAAGAAACCCAAUUCAUUUUUGACAUAUGCUAGCUCUUUAAAUGUUUUCAUUUCUUCUAUAUCCAAAACUCUUUCUCAUAGAACACUACCACCACCAUGACAAUCACCUCUUAGCAUCUUAUUCCUCUCUGCUUAUAUCCCAGGUUUCAGAAUCACUCAGUGUAUGGCACUCAGAAUUGAUCACACUACUUUAGCUAAUAUCUGACCAACUGAUAUUACAGAAUACCUGGUACUAUCACCUCCCUCAUUCCACGUACUUUCUUCCUAUUGAUGUAAUCUAAAUUUCAAUUGACUUUUAGAAUAGCCAUGUUACAUGAUAAUCCCAUGGUGAAUUUACCAAUCAAAUAACACUACUUUUUUCUCAUAAAAAAAAUGUUGUAAAUCCUGAUCUCUCUUCCUUGUUGUCUAUGUGUG
Long non-coding RNA from Equus caballus (horse), 1137 nucleotides. The record is from Ensembl. NCBI's taxonomy places the organism in Eukaryota, Metazoa, Chordata, Mammalia, Perissodactyla, Equidae.